Long non-coding RNA from Bubalus bubalis (water buffalo), 553 nucleotides. RefSeq lists it as uncharacterized. The transcript is spliced from 3 exons. The record is from RefSeq and is a predicted model, not a curated record. Lineage: Eukaryota; Metazoa; Chordata; Mammalia; Artiodactyla; Bovidae.
UUGUCUCCAUUUACCCGGACGUUGCUAAGUAACGGAAACGAGGGGACGACCGCGCCAGCCUAGCGCUUUGGGAGUGGGAACGAGCCGCGAGCUGUGCUCCUGGGCUGCGACCAGUGUUCGUAGACAGCAGAAGCUGUUUCCGCGGGGAAAUCCUUGGCGAUGCUUCAUGCCUUCUGAACUAUGGAGACCUGACGACCAGACGGUGAUGCUCCCAAGAGAGAAUGGCCCAGAUAGGCUUGUAUCCUGGAAGGGCAUGAACCUGGGGGGAUAACCCCCAGUCCCCGCAAGCUGGAGCAACUAACCCCAAAAUGGACCAAGGGCUGAUGGGCCCUCCAGAGAAGCCGAGGCGUUUCCUUCACUGCACACCUGCUUGCUGAUGGUCCUCAGUCCUUGGCAGACGGAUGGCAUGGAACACAUCAGAGUUCAUUUUCACCUGUCAGGGUUCUCUUCAUCCAUUCAUUAUCAAUGACAAUUUGACUUUUCUGGAUCCCCUUGAUCUAGAUUGAAUUCUUCAGUUAUAUUCUCUCAGAGGACCGUCUGCUCCUCUUUCACA